Molecule: unclassified non-coding RNA, 159 nt
Filed under: soil metagenome
Description: partial internal transcribed spacer 1
Source: RNAcentral
CAAUAAGUGUUCAAUGGCACUUUAAAUCCAUUACCCACCUUGUGUGCAAUGUAAGGAGGAGGGGGUUUGUCAGCACUUUUUGGCCUGGUUUCCCCUCUUUCAUUAUACAUACCAAUCUUCUCUUGUUGUCUACUUUUUGAGUAUAAAAAACUCGGAAUA